GGUCUGGUGGCCAAGUGGUAAGGCAACGGUUUGCAAAACCGUUAUUCACCGGUUCGAAUCCGGUCCAGACCU
Molecule: transfer RNA, 72 nt
Filed under: Candidatus Falkowbacteria bacterium RIFOXYB2_FULL_34_18
Lineage: Bacteria; Candidatus Falkowiibacteriota
Also listed under: 4 other names
Description: tRNA-Cys
Rfam family: tRNA
About the family: Transfer RNA (tRNA) molecules are approximately 80 nucleotides in length.
Source: RNAcentral